UGCACUAGUAGCUCAGCAUCAGAGCGCCGACCUUGUAAGCCGGACGUCGAAGGUUAAAAUCCUUCCUUCUGCU
This 73-nucleotide transfer RNA is filed under the name Benitochromis finleyi. Its description in RNAcentral is "tRNA-Thr". It matches the Rfam family "tRNA". From Rfam's summary of the family: Transfer RNA (tRNA) molecules are approximately 80 nucleotides in length. Their secondary structure includes four short double-helical elements and three loops (D, anti-codon, and T loops). Further hydrogen bonds mediate the characteristic L-shaped molecular structure. tRNAs have two regions of fundamental functional importance: the anti-codon, which is responsible for specific mRNA codon recognition, and the 3' end, to which the tRNAs corresponding amino acid is attached (by aminoacyl-tRNA synthetases). tRNAs cope with the degeneracy of the genetic code in two manners: having more than one tRNA (with a specific anti-codon) for a particular amino acid; and 'wobble' base-pairing, i.e. permitting non-standard base-pairing at the 3rd anti-codon position. The record is from RNAcentral. Lineage: Eukaryota; Metazoa; Chordata; Actinopteri; Cichliformes; Cichlidae.